RNAcentral lists this long non-coding RNA (357 nucleotides) under Homo sapiens (human). RNAcentral's name for it is "HSALNT0150268". Lineage: Eukaryota; Metazoa; Chordata; Mammalia; Primates; Hominidae. The record is from RNAcentral.
UCAAGAUACCAAGAAUUUCCAUCACUACAAAGCAGGAACACCCCUUGGAGCAAUAACACCCAAAUACCUGAAAUGUGAAGAUGACAAGCAUGAGUAUCCUCUCCUUUUGUGCCUGAAUUUCCUGCUUUAAUCAGAAAAAAAUACUUUUAAAAAGUGCAGGCAAUGGUGAGGUUAAUUUCUUGUUUAAAAUAUUUUAAUUAUCACACUGCAAUGAUGGAAAUAAAUCUGUUCACUCUAGCAAGUAUAUAACAUUAUCACAAAAAGCCAAAGGAAAAGGAAAUGCGUAAGAGAGAAAGGGGAUGAGAGAGAAGCAGGACACAAAAAUUACAGUGCAGGGAACAAGAGCAAAACGAAAAA